This 449-nucleotide ribosomal RNA is filed under the name uncultured bacterium. Its description in RNAcentral is "partial 16S ribosomal RNA". It matches the Rfam family "Bacterial small subunit ribosomal RNA", at positions 29 to 523 of the family's 1533-position model. The record is from RNAcentral.
AACGAACGCUGGCGGCAUGCCUAACACAUGCAAGUCGAACGAGAUCUUCGGGUCUAGUGGCGCACGGGUGCGUAACGCGUGGGAAUCUGCCCUUUGGUUCGGAAUAACAGUUGGAAACGACUGCUAAUACCGGAUGAUGACGAAAGUCCAAAGAUUUAUCGCCAGAGGAUGAGCCCGCGUAGGAUUAGCUAGUUGGUGUGGUAAAGGCGCACCAAGGCGACGAUCCUUAGCUGGUCUGAGAGGAUGAGCAGCCACACUGGGACUGAGACACGGCCCAGACUCCUACGGGAGGCAGCAGUGGGGAAUAUUGGACAAUGGGCGAAAGCCUGAUCCAGCAAUGCCGCGUGAGUGAUGAAGGCCUUAGGGUUGUAAAGCUCUUUUACCCGGGAUGAUAAUGACAGUACCGGGAGAAUAAGUUCCGGCUAACUCCGUGCCAGCCGCCGCGGUAA